GACAGAGGUGGCGAGCGUUGUUCGGUGUCACUGGGCUUAAAGCGUGUGUAGGCGGCCCGAUAAGUCCGUUGUGAAAUACCUCAGCUUAACUGAGGAACUGCUUCGGAUACUGUUGGGCUUGAGGCAGGUAUGGGUGCGGGGAACGGUUGGUGGAGCGGUGGAAUGCGUAGAUAUCAACCGGAACGCCGGCGGUGAAGACGCUGCACUGGGCCUGUUCUGACGCUGAGACACGAAAGCGUGGGUAU
RNAcentral lists this ribosomal RNA (245 nucleotides) under uncultured bacterium. RNAcentral describes it as "partial 16S ribosomal RNA". It matches the Rfam family "Bacterial small subunit ribosomal RNA", at positions 524 to 768 of the family's 1533-position model. The record is from RNAcentral.